CCGGGACAAGGAGCCAGGUGCCUCCUCCUCGGACCCUCCACCUGUCGCUAAAGUGCUUGAGCGCUGAGGUCGACUCUCCCUGUACUGCACGUACAGGGACGCCCCACCAGCAGUGGUCCCCUCUUCCUGUCUCUCCUCCUCUCAGCAACCACUUCAACAUUGACUUCCCCUCCACAAGGACCGGGACCUUGCCGUGGUGUGGAGGUUUCAUACAAACACCGGUCCACCCACCCUGCAACAACUCUUCUACAGGACAGUGACACUACGUUUCUUUAAAAAAAAAAAAAAAAAACAUUCUAUGUCUGCUGUGAUGUGAUGUAUGUGGUUUAAAAAAAAAAAAACAUCCACACCACUGUGUUCUGCAUUCUGCAUCUCUACACUGAACACUUAUGCCGUGUGUCUGCUCUGAUGUUUUUAUUUUUUAUUAUUGUUUUGUAGUUUAAAAUAAACAAUCUAUAUGUAUAAUAUAUAGAAUAUAUAACA
This is a long non-coding RNA of Alosa alosa (allis shad), 483 nucleotides long. RefSeq lists it as uncharacterized. The record is from RefSeq and is a predicted model, not a curated record. The transcript is spliced from 3 exons. NCBI's taxonomy places the organism in Eukaryota, Metazoa, Chordata, Actinopteri, Clupeiformes, Clupeidae.